UGACAUCUUUAGGAAUUAAAAAUUUUUAAGUUUUGGUGCACCGAGUGCUGUUUUUUUAAAAAAUUUCUACUCUUGCAGAGGAAGCCCAGCCUGCCUAUUAGAACCCCCAGCUUUAAUUUGCCGGUUUGGGGGGGCGGGUGUCUAAUUACUGACUCAAGUACCAGGGACAAAACCAUAUCUCAGAAAGUCUUCUGUCUACUUGCCUGGUUUUGUCUCUCAGCUGCUUCCCUUCCACCAUCUACAAAUCUUUAUUAACUCAAAUGAUUGAUAAUGAGUUAAUAAUAAAUCAAUGAAAUCAUUUCUUUGUUCACUUAGUCGUUUGUUCACAAAUGUUUAUUUAGUACCAGACACUUGGGGUUGGCACUGGAGAUAGAGUGAACAAGGUCAAGGCCUUGUCCUCUUGGAAGCCAGUCAAGGAGCCCAAUGCUACACAGGCCAUCACAAAACAGUAAUGGAAGACAGCGAGUGGGGCUGAGAGCGAGGAAGACAGUGUGGGGCCCGGCAUGGCCUAGGGAAGGAAGGCAUGUGAGGAAGCACAUUUUGAACUACACAUGAAUCGGACCAAGCCAGGCAAAGGAGGGCAGAGGGUAGAGGGUUCCCAGAGAAGGAGGGGCUGGCAUAAACGUCGUGGGGCAGGGGCGAAGGAGCUUUGAAGCAUUUCAGAAACUAAGAGUCGGUGUGCUACUGGGCAAGAGGGAGACACUGAGAGAAGUGGACGUCAGCCCGUGCGGGACCUCGUGCUCCGUGAUAAGGACCUCAGUGCCUGUAAGUAGGGCAAUGACGUUAUAAAAUUCAGGUUUUAAAAUAGCAUUCUGGCUACACGUGAAGAUGAGGUUGGGGAAGCUGAAGAGUGGGGUUGGACGGGAGGCUGUUUAUCGCCGGUGCACAGGAAGGAGCAGGUAAUGGCUCCAAGCAACAGAGAGCCCGCAGAAAGGGGUAGAUGAGAGACGUUCAGCGGCGAGAAUGGGCAGAAAGUGAUGAGCAGUUGGCUGCCCUGGGGAAUGGAAAGGGCGACUCUUCUACAGGAAAUGCUAGAACAUUGAUAAUCUGUGAUCAGAAUAGAGAACCCUAGGAAAGAACCCAAAACUCGCCCUUUGGGCAAUGGCCGGGGACACCAAGACGUGGAUCGUGGUGGGCACAGUCCUUAAAGUCUUGCAGAAGCGUGGACUUUUGCGCCUAACAGAAUCCCCUCGGGAGGUGACCUGUGGAAGGUUAUUAUGUGGAAUGGGGCAUGACAUUUCUUUGGGAUCUGUGGAUGUUUGUGGCUGGCCUAAGUAUAGCAAUGUCCGGGGGCUGUGAGCUGAAGUGCACCAGCCUGCGGUGGAUGGGACAUCGUGAGGCCUUGGCCAUGACCCUGAGAGUGUCUGGGUGGCUGUCACAACCCAAGGCACUGUCAGUGUUUCCUGUGAUAUCUGGGUGGGAGCACAGUGGGGCGAGCCUGUAGCUUCGAGGCCUGCUCCAGGACCUAUUCCACAUCCUUCCUAUAGUCUGUCUCCAUCUAGCGGGUGCUCCCUCUGCCAGGAGUGCCUACAGACAACCUUACCCUCCUUCAACUCUGUCUGGGGCAUUUUCGUGGGACCACCAGCACGAGGAUCACCUGGGGAGCUUGUUCCCAAGGCAGAUGCCGGGCCCCGUGUCUCUCUAUUGAAUGAGAAUUGCCAGUUAUAGGGCCUGGGGAUUGUAUUUGGGAUACAUUCCACAAGGAGUUCUCUUCAUAACCGGCCACAGGAAGCUAUUGACGUUAAUUUAAAUAAAACUCAAACUUCAGUUAGUUGGUAACACCAGCCACAGUUCACAUGCUCAUUGCCACUUAGAGCUGUAUGAACAUUUCCGUUAUGGCUGAAAGUUGUGCUGGAGGUGCUGGGGUGGGCAGGGAAAUGCCAGCCCACUAGAUCCUCCUAGUUUGGGGUCCCUGUCUUAGCUGAUGCAUUGCCCAUGAGAAUGGUCUUUCCUACAGGGAGUGACCACCCCUCUCCAGGCUACCUGAUUCCUGCAGUACAGCAUGUUCCAUCCCCUGCUUUGCAGCUUCGGGCUGUACCCGAUGGGUGGCCUCUGCCCUUGGAUGAGGUGGAGAAAGGACAGUGGAAAAUCCUCUGCCCAUGACUGUAGACUCCUGCAGUUGAUGGACUUCAGGGGUCUUCUAACUAGACCCAACCCCUUCUGAAUUAAGUUAAAGUCUCUUAACAUUUAAGAGUUCUUUCUAAUUGGGCUAACUUUUGUUUACUGGGUAAGAACUGCAUCCACUUGAACUUCCUUCCUCAUCUCAGUCUUUGAAGUUAUACAGACAUUGGAAAAGGUCAGCCCACCGUUUUUAGAAUUUUUGGCUCCCCAGCCUGACUUAACCUUUAACGUGCCUGAGCUGGUUAAGUUCAACCUUUCCAAAGAGGUGCCCCUCUAUAAUUCCAGUUUGAGAGUAUGGCAUCCUUGAAUGGACUUCUUUAAAGUUUGAAGGGUUUGACAAGGUCAUUUGAGAUGGACGUGGAUUUCCAAGUCUAAUUACAUCGCUUCCAGUCCUUUGCUUCUUGUGCCUCAGGUUUAUAAUUUUCUGACGAGAAUCUUGCACAUCUUCAGGACUCCUUUCCAGAACACCACAUCCCAAAUGGAUAGUUGCCUUGGCUAUGUCCAGGUGGUCUCUGGUGCCUAGGGGGUGAUCCAGGGUUGCUGUCGUGGUUGUCAUCUGACUGCCCCUCCCCUGCAAUGUGGCCGGUGUGGUGACACGUGGAUGCUGUGCAGGCUGGUGUAUUUAUGAGUGGUCCCUUGCCUUUUCUAGUUGGCACAUCCUCAAUAGGAAGGCCACAGUGCUUCUGUUUACGUGACAUAAUGACUCUUCAUUGAUCGGGUAAGACAAAAAGACUAACUCUCCAGAAAGCUCGGAACCUUUUUUGGCAGUUGGAUUGCUUGAAUCAGUGUAUAAACACACCCCCCACAUUGCAUUUGUGCAGCUUUUUUAAUGGUCAGUCUUUUUUCCUGGUCCUUCUUUUCAAUUUUUACCUUUGAAGUCUUGCAAUCCUUGCGAAUGAAACCAGGUUGCUUGCCCAGUAGGAUUUUUCAUAUGCUAACUUGCUGACUUCAUCCCCAUGGUGUCAUCUAGCCUGUUCCUCUGGCCCCUGGGUUUUGUGUUAACCAGGCGUUACAUCUAUAGCCUUGAGCACACUCAGGUUCUGGGUUUGGUUUGGUAGGACUACAUCAUGGGUGGUUCUGUGUCCUUCUCUGGCAUCACAUCGGGAAUUUUGUGAUGUUGGACUGAACGUUGGGUUCAGGGCUUAUCCUGAGGCUUCUGUCAUAAAGCUCAAUUUGAGCCUUUACCCUCCAGGGUCAGUGGCCCUCACCAACAACUUCUUAGAUCAGUUCUUUCUUUAGGUGAUGUUCUAGUUCUAUCAUUUCUUCUUCAUUUGUUACCUGGAAUUCUUCUAUAGAGAAGAACUUUCCCUUAUCAACUGUUGGUUACCCUGAAGUUGAGGGAAAGGCUUGGCCUUUGCCUCUUGGUGGCGACUGUAUUCCUCAAGUAUAGCACCUCACACUUGGGGCUUCACUCCAUGGUCACCUGCAUUCAUGCCAGGAUCCCUGGGGGUGCAGAGGUAUACCAGAGCCUGUCUCUAAAGCAGCUGAUGGGAUACAGGCUGUAAGCCUGACUCUGAAACCCCUCUGUAGAGACCUUAAUGUUCUUUUCUUUUAAAGCGAACAUGUCCCUACAUCCUCCAUGGCAGUAGAUACUUGGGGGUCAGAACAGGAGAGCAGGAACUGGUCUGAGCCUUGCUGGCAUGAAAAGGAGGGCUCUGAACUGGAGUCCAGACCUCACCUGUCCCUCAAGGGCUGUUUCCAUGCCAACGACAAUGGCAAAUUAAGGCAACUGUGUCACCGGCAAGCAGACUGAGUCAGACAAAAAGGAAGUGGCAGUAAAUUCUUCAAAGACCCACAUCCCAAAAAGACACGCCAGCCACACUUGUGCAAGUACAGCUGACAGAAAUAGAAGAAGGGCUUUUAUCUAAAAAUGUUAUGAAACAGGCACUUCUUUCCCAUCAGUGUACUGGUGGAUUUCGUUGUGGGUUGAAGUGGGCUAAACAUAAGUGGAGAACAGAAUUUCUUUCUUUCUUUCUCUCUCUCUCUCUUUCUUUCUUUCUUUCUUUCUUUCUUUCUUUCUUUCCUUCCUUCCUUCCUUCCUUCCUUCCUUCCUUCCUUCCUUCCUUCCUUCCUUCUUUCUUUCUUUCUUUCUUUCUUUCUUUCUUUCUUUCGAGAUUUUCUUCCUUACAAAAAACAUGUGGGCAGGUAGAAGAUGAUAUAAGAACCCUCACAGCAGGAGACUUAUUCUGGGAGACAGUUUAUUUACGCAUCAUAUUAAUUUCAUGGCAUUUCUAAGGCUACCCUUUCGGUUUCCACUGGCCUGAGGGUUUUGUUGGUCAGUUUCUUGGUUUUCUUUAAAAAUCUGACAUUCUCCAAUGGAGAUUCCCUCUGUGCUAUGUUAGUGACCAAGCAGUGCCCAGGUGACAAAUCUCAAUACCACAGAAAUUCCCUCAGGAAUUGUGGGAUAUGGUUUUCAUGCAUGGUUUUCACAAGGUAAUGAAUUAGUAACAUUUUUAGUAAAGUCCUGGUGGUAUUGUACAUUCAUAUUGAACAAAUAUAUAGAAUAUUAGGAAGUUGGUUAAAUGAAAAAAUAGAUAUUAAACAUCUUAUGUAUAUAUGAAAAAAAUGAUUUUGGAAACUUACUAAUAGCAUUAUCCCUAUACUUUAAGAAAUACAUUUGAAAUACACUUAAAUUUUCAGGGGAGAGUGGAUAAUGGGCAUUGAGGAGGGCACCUGUUUGGAUGAGCACUGGGUGUUGUAUGGAAACCAAACUGACAAUAAAUUUCAUAGUAAAAAAUGAAAUACACUGAAAUUUUGGAUCGAAUUUAUUACCAUACCAAAUAGGGUCAUGCUGAUGGCUUGAUUACAUUACUUCUUAUGCUCUUUGAUUACUUCUUCAAUCAAAAGUCCGUAUUUUUACAGUGGACCAUAAAUUACCUGCAUAGACAUUCCAUAGACUCUUUUUGCUCGCAAAGUUACUUAUUCAGAACUGAUGCUUUCUCCAAAGUAACCUUUGCAUGUAAAAUUUAAAUGCAAUCACCGAUGUAGAUGGCCAUAUAUUAUUAAUUAGCUAAUUAAUCAGUUUAUGCUCUGUUGUAUCCCAGAAAAGAUUCAAGUUUGCUUAAAAAAAAAAAAAAAAAA
Molecule: long non-coding RNA, 5202 nt
Organism: Herpailurus yagouaroundi (jaguarundi)
Lineage: Eukaryota; Metazoa; Chordata; Mammalia; Carnivora; Felidae
Exons: 2
Source: RefSeq, a predicted model, not a curated record